CCUACGGGGGGCAGCAGUGAGGAAUAUUGGUCAAUGGGCGUAAGCCUGAACCAGCCAAGUAGCGUGCAGGAUGACGGCCCUAUGGGUUGUAAACUGCUUUUAUGCAAGGAUAAAGUCACCCACGUGUGGGUGUUUGCAGGUAUUGCAUGAAUAAGGACCGGCUAAUUCCGUGCCAGCAGCCGCGGUAAUACGGAAGGUUCUGGCGUUAUCCGGAUUUAUUGGGUUUAAAGGGAGCGUAGGCCGUUUUUUAAGCGUGUUGUGAAAUGUACCGGCUCAACCGGUGAUGUGCAGCGCGAACUGGUAGACUUGAGUACGCAGUAAGCAGGCGGAAUUCGUGGUGUAGCGGUGAAAUGCUUAGAUAUCACGAAGAACUCCGAUUGCGUAGGCAGCUUGCUGUAGCGUAACUGACGCUGAAGCUCGAAGGUGCGGGUAUCGAACAGGAUUAGAUACCCUUGUAGUC
This 460-nucleotide ribosomal RNA is filed under the name uncultured Prevotella sp. RNAcentral describes it as "bacterial SSU rRNA". It matches the Rfam family "Bacterial small subunit ribosomal RNA", at positions 338 to 795 of the family's 1533-position model. Lineage: Bacteria; Pseudomonadati; Bacteroidota; Bacteroidia; Bacteroidales; Prevotellaceae. The record is from RNAcentral.